AUAUCUCUCUGUACGGGAAGGAUGAGAAGCUUCGACUAAGGUUCGAUUCGAGCGAAAGCGAGAAAGCGUUGCCAACGGCAACGACCCGAAGGGCG
RNAcentral lists this small RNA (95 nucleotides) under Salmonella enterica. Its description in RNAcentral is "partial RtT sRNA". It matches the Rfam family "RtT RNA", at positions 1 to 93 of the family's 130-position model. Rfam says of the family: This family represents a bacterial cis-regulatory element known as RtT RNA. The exact function of RtT is unknown although it is thought that it may be involved in changing the cellular response in relation to amino acid starvation. The record is from RNAcentral. Lineage: Bacteria; Pseudomonadati; Pseudomonadota; Gammaproteobacteria; Enterobacterales; Enterobacteriaceae.